RNAcentral lists this ribosomal RNA (253 nucleotides) under uncultured bacterium. RNAcentral describes it as "partial 16S ribosomal RNA". It matches the Rfam family "Bacterial small subunit ribosomal RNA", at positions 524 to 776 of the family's 1533-position model. The record is from RNAcentral.
UACGUAGGGUGCGAGCGUUAAUCGGAAUUACUGGGCGUAAAGCGUGCGCAGGCGGUUAGCCGUGUCCGAUGUGAAAGCCCCGGGCUCAACCUGGGAAUGGCAUUGGAAACUGGCUGGCUGGAGUGUGGCAGAGGGGGGUGGAAUUCCACGUGUAGCAGUGAAAUGCGUAGAGAUGUGGAGGAACGCCGAUGGCGAAGGCAGCCCCCUGGGCCAACACUGACGCUCAGGCACGAAAGCGUGGGGAGCAAACAGG